Molecule: long non-coding RNA, 1898 nt
Organism: Grus americana (Whooping crane)
Lineage: Eukaryota; Metazoa; Chordata; Aves; Gruiformes; Gruidae
Exons: 2
Source: RefSeq, a predicted model, not a curated record
CUUCAAGGACCGAUGCCCAGGUCGGCAGCACCCGUCUGUGGGAUUUCCAGAUGACGACCCAUCAGAGGAUGUUUUACGGACAAGAACCCUGCUGGGAUUCGGCGCGGGGUCAAAGAUUGCCGCGAGCUCCCCGCAGCGCAGAGCAAAGCUGGCCUCUGCUGCCGACGUACCGGCUCUGUUACGAAGGGGGACGUCAAGGUAAAGCCUUGAGCCUCGCCGGGGCGGCAGCAGGUCCCCACCGAGCCACGACGCCUUGUCCCGAGGAGCCGAUGAGUGAUGGCGAGACGAGCCGGCGGGGGGAGAGGGGGAGAAGGGAAAUUAAAUGUUGCUGUCAUCUUUUUGUCUGAGAGAGACGUCGCUGAGCGGUGCUGCUGGCACCGGCUGAAGAUCAGUCCCCGGCUUUACAACACACAGGGGCAAUUAAGUUUUACACAGCGCCUCGCGUUCCGUAGUAAAAUUCAGUGUCACCCUGAGAUCUGCCGGAGUCCGGCGCGCUCGCGGUCGGCUGCAACGCCGGGGCUGCCUGCUCGCCGGCGGAGGAGCGAUGCCAGUAUUUCCCUGGGGAAGCACCUGGCAGACGUCAUUCCUGAAGCCGGUUUGCAGCUCCGGUGCGGCAGCUGGCCGCUCUGGCCGCGGGCAGCGAGGGGCCGCGGUUGGGGUUUUCCCCUGGUCGGCUGCAGUUGGGCAGAGCGGCACGGGGACAGCGUGGUGUCCCCCGCAGACGCCCCAGACGGUCCCUGCGGCACGGCACGCCGGUGCCCAGCACCGGGCAAGGAUGGGUGCUGGCUGCCCGGGACACGGACGGCGGCAAUUUCCCUUCGCAGUUUCCCGGCGGCGCAGGGUUGUAGCGAUGCUGCGUGGCCACACGCUCGCUCUGCCAGAUUUCUCUGAACGAACGCUACGUUACAUGUCACAAGCAAGGUUACUGAAUGUUUUUUUAACUAAAAGCAUGCAAUGUGUAGGGUUUAAGUUGUUUAAUGAAGCAUGAUAAUUGAAUGGUAAUAGCUGUUCUUUGAAAGUCCUGAAAACAGAUGGAAUUCUGUUAGGAUCAAUGUAUUGUUUACGGGGAACUAAUCUAUCUCUGAAAGCAGCUGGUGAUUCGUUCUUGUUGUUUUAUGAAAUUAGAAAAUAUUGCUAUUUCUGAAGCACAUUUAUAAAACUUGCUCUCUACUUUUAAAGAGUGGGCUUAAGGGCAUUUACUGCAAUUCACAUUUAUCAAACAACGCACAUGUGGCUGCAUUACAAAACCAACUUCAAUUAAAAACAGAUUUGAGAAGUAAUGUGCUAUGUAGGCUGUAAAGCUCUAGUGGAAGGAAAAUGUACCUGGUUAAAGGAUCAAAUGCGGCUCUUAAAACCGGUGGUAUUUCCGCCUGUAAUACAGUUGUAUUCCCGUAAAACCUUUUGUUGGCAUGAUGCUGGUCAUGGAGAUGACCGCCAAAGUCAUUCUGCCAGUGACUUUGCAGAAUUUGGUCUGCUUAUAUGUACGGAGCAGUGUGUGAGUAACGAAGCAAGAAUGUGCAUUUUUUAAUGAACAUUCAGACAAAAUCUAUAUCUAAACAGGAAAUCAACGUUCGGGUCAUAAGGUGUGACAGGACAACGGGAAUCUUAAAUCCCACGGGAGAUAAAAAAUAAAAGGAGCAGUGACCACUGGGAUGUAUUUCAGGAGUUUUCUUCAGGUACUGCGCUUCAGGCGGUGUGUCUUAAAACCCCCUCGCCGUUGUACGUUACCAAGAUCCACUCCGAGCUCUGACGUGGCCAGCUGACUUCUGUGAAGAGUAAAAUGAAAAUGUUGUCGUGGAUUAGGGAAAGCAAAACAAGCCGGUGCCUUUCAGCGUGAGGCUGUGACAUGUCAGAACUGGCAAAAUAUUUCCCUGCGCAAGUUAUUAAAAAUGAGGAAA